GGUAGUGUGGUGUAGCGAUUUGGGUAUUAGACUGUGGCUCUGAAGAUCAGGGUUCCAUUCCCUGCUCACCCA
This is a non-coding RNA of Phrynosoma platyrhinos (Desert horned lizard), 72 nucleotides long. Lineage: Eukaryota; Metazoa; Chordata; Lepidosauria; Squamata; Phrynosomatidae. The record is from the annotation of a GenBank genome assembly.